Molecule: ribosomal RNA, 467 nt
Filed under: uncultured bacterium
Lineage: Bacteria
Description: partial 16S ribosomal RNA
Rfam family: Bacterial small subunit ribosomal RNA
Source: RNAcentral
GACGAACGCUGGCGGCGUGCUUAACACAUGCAAGUCGAACGGAAAGGCCCUGCUUUUGUGGGGUGCUCGAGUGGCGAACGGGUGAGUAACACGUGAGUAACCUGCCCUUGACUUUGGGAUAACUUCAGGAAACUGGGGCUAAUACCGGAUAGGAGCUCCUGCUGCAUGGUGGGGGUUGGAAAGUUUCGGCGGUUGGGGAUGGACUCGCGGCUUAUCAGCUUGUUGGUGGGGUAGUGGCUUACCAAGGCUUUGACGGGUAGCCGGCCUGAGAGGGUGACCGGCAAAAUGGGGACGGGGAUCCGGCCCAGAUCCUUACGGGAGGAAGCAGGGGGGAAUAUGGAACAAGGGGCGGAAGCUGGAGGCAGAAACGCCGCGUGCGGGAGGACGGCCUUCGGGUGGUAAACCGCUUUCGCCUGUGACGAAGCGUGAGUGACGGUAAUGGGUAAAGAAGCACCGGCUAACUACGU